UACGUAGGGGGCAAGCGUUGUCCGGAUUUAUUGGGCGUAAAGAGCGUGUAGGCGGCCGCACAGGUCCGUUGUGAAAACUGGAGGCUCAACCUUCAGACGUCGAUGGAAACCGUGCGGCUAGAGUCCGGAAGAGGAGAGUGGAAUUCCUGGUGUAGCGGUGAAAUGCGCAGAUAUCAGGAAGAACACCCGUGGCGAAGGCGGCUCUCCGGGACGGUACUGACGCUGAGACGCGAAAGCGUGGGGAGCGAACAGG
RNAcentral lists this ribosomal RNA (253 nucleotides) under uncultured bacterium. RNAcentral's name for it is "partial 16S ribosomal RNA". It matches the Rfam family "Bacterial small subunit ribosomal RNA", at positions 524 to 776 of the family's 1533-position model. The record is from RNAcentral.